RNAcentral lists this ribosomal RNA (627 nucleotides) under uncultured fungus. Its description in RNAcentral is "eukaryotic LSU rRNA". It matches the Rfam family "Eukaryotic large subunit ribosomal RNA", at positions 23 to 673 of the family's 3401-position model. The record is from RNAcentral. Lineage: Eukaryota; Fungi.
ACCCGCUGAACUUAAGCAUAUCAAUAAGCGGAGGAAAAGAAACCAACAGGGAUUGCCCUAGUAACGGCGAGUGAAGCGGCAACAGCUCAAAUUUGAAAUCUGGCCUUCUGGUCCGAAUUGUAAUUUGUAGAGGAUGCUUUUGGUUAGGUACCUUUCGAGUUCCUUGGAACAGGACGCCUUAGAGGGUGAGAGCCCCGUACGAUUGGAUACCGAGCCGCUGUAGAGCUCCUUCGACGAGUCGAGUAGUUUGGGAAUGCUGCUCUAAAUGGGAGGUAAAUUUCUUCUAAAGCUAAAUACCGGCCAGAGACCGAUAGCGCACAAGUAGAGUGAUCGAAAGAUGAAAAGCACCUUGAAAAGAGGGUUAAAAAGUACGUGAAAUUGUUGAAAGGGAAGCAUUCAUGACCAGACUUGGGCUUGGUUGAACAUCCGGCGUUCUCGCCGGUGCACUCUGCCAGUCCAGGCCAGCAUCAGUUUGCCCCGGGGGACAAAGGCGGUGGGAAUGUGGCUCUCUUCGGGGAGUGUUAUAGCCCGCCGUGUAAUGCCCUGGGGUGGACUGAGGAACGCGCUUCGGCACGGAUGCUGGCGUAAUGGUCAUCAAUGACCCGUCUUGAAACACGGACCAAGGAG